UUUUUUUCUUUUCUUGUUUUUUUUUUGAGACAAGAUCUCACUCUGUUGUCCAGAUUGGAGUGCAGUGGGGUGAUUUCGGCUCACUGCAACAACCUCUUACCUCAGCCUCAGAGUAGCUGGGACCACAGGCGCACACAACCACAUCCAGCUAAUUUUUUGUAUCUUUUGUAGAGACAGGGUUUCAUCAUGUUGCCUAGGCUGGCCUCGAACUCCUAGGCUCAAGCGAUCCUCCUACCUCAGCCUCCCAAAGUGCUAGGAUUGCAGGCAUGAGCCACCACACCUGGCCCAGCUGUCUACUCACCCUUUAAAACCGGAUUGCAACUAUCCUUAAUUUCCCCAGAAUUAUGUGUCCCACUUUGUUUCUGAACUUCAGCGCAUACCUGUUUAUCACACACACUGUAGUUACUGAUGUCCUGUUGUUCAAGUUAUAUCCUUGAUGUCCAAGUUACCUUUUGAUAAAUUCCUUAAGGAUCAUGUUUUAUUUGACUUUCUACAGCAAUUAGUGUAGUUCCUGACAAAUAGGAACCACUAUUCCCUUCACUAUUUCAAUAAAUGCUGAAUGAAUAUUUUAUACACAGCUAACCAAAGGGCUUGUACCAUAUGCUCUACUAAUUUUAUUCUAAGAAAGUGUGAUGUUCAAAUAUAUUUGAAAAACAGCAGAUAUAUCAACAAUAAACAUGUUAAUUCUGAUUGGGUCAUACGUAAAGGCCAUGAGAAGAACAAGCAUAAAUACACCCUCUACAUAAAGAUAAUAGCUCAUCCUUACUAAGCAUUUAUGCUGUGCCAUUUACUCUGCUAAGCAAUUUACAAUUAUUUGAUUUAAUCCAAUGACAUAACUCUCUGUGGGUUAAGUUCUAUUGUUUGCCUUAUUUUACAAGAUAUGCGGAAACCGAGCACUAGAGAAAUUACAUAACCUCAAGAUCACACAAGUAGUGAGCAGUGGUGCCAGGGUUUCAACCCAGAGUUCCUGACUCUGGAGCCUCUACUCUUAACCAUAUGAAACAGACUUCUUAGCGGUAACUGGUGCUUCCAAGAUGCUUAAUGUGGUACUCUGACCCGCAAUAAGUGAGCUUCAAUGAGAAAAACUUAGGAUGGACCAACAGCACAUUUUCCCAUAUUCUAUCAAAUCGUGAAGACACCAAACUACGAAAGGGUCUACCUGCAAAUUAAGUCCUUGAAGACAAGUAUAUGUAUAUCCCGGGUUUUCUUCCACAAGCUUUCAACAAACUACACUUUUCCUCUGAACAGAAUAUCUUAAAAAUAAAUAAAUAAAUACAACUUUGGCUUUCUUUUAAUAUUCACACAGUAAUUAUUUUUCUAUUAUGAACUGAAAACCUAAAUACUUAAAUACAAAGUCAUCAUUUCCAGGAUAGCCAAGAGCCAAGAACUAAAAAAAAAAAAAAAAAUUAAGGCCUCGUUUAUAGUUUUGAGGAAUGGGGAUCCAAACAACACAGUCCACAAGUCAUCUUGGACUCUGAAGUGUGCAGAACUUGCUACAGUAUCUAACCAAUCACAUGGGUGAGUUGCGGGUACCUUGAUACCGACAAGUUAGCUUCAAAGUUCCCUUACACGAGCCUCUAAAUCAGCUGAGACCAAUUAUUGUUAAUGCUCUCCGGGGCCGUGUUGAGGACUCCCAAUUGGCAAUCUGGAACGUUUCCAGAACUUGGUGGGGGGGAGGGGGCUCAUAUUUCGUGGAGAAUGGGGGAGGUGAGCCCUGGAUAUAGGGAUAACUUUUUAACUAGCCUUAAUUGGGGUCUUUGCGGCCAGGCUGUAAAGAUUCCCGCCACACUAAUAAGAAUCAGCCACGGCCUUUUAAUUGGAACGCCGGAACUCUGCCUUGUUUUACUAAUAUCUUAAUAACACGUUUCUAUGAUGGACAUGUUGGUUCCUUGUAUUUUAAGACGCGGCCACAAACUGAAGCGAUAGCGAUCACGUAUAUGCAGUCCCCCAAUCGUCCAAGCCGAAUAGGUUGCAUGUAGUAUCACUCAAAAAACAUUCAUUACCGUCGGUGUGUUGAGUGGUGAGGGCCAGUGUGCGAAUUCAUUAAUGGAAGUCGCGGGACCCCGAGCGGUUGGAGCCCUGCCACACCCCUCUGCUUGCGUUAAGACAACCUGACCCAACCUCU
Molecule: long non-coding RNA, 2125 nt
Filed under: Macaca fascicularis (crab-eating macaque)
Lineage: Eukaryota; Metazoa; Chordata; Mammalia; Primates; Cercopithecidae
Description: lncRNA (ENSMFAG00000057396.1)
Source: RNAcentral